GGUCGGUUAGCUCAGUUGGUUAGAGCGUGGUACUAAUAAGCUAUCCGGCUUAUCAUGUAAAUGCCAAGGUCAUGAGUUCGACCCUCAUACUGACCA
RNAcentral lists this transfer RNA (96 nucleotides) under Scedosporium apiospermum. It matches the Rfam family "tRNA". From Rfam's summary of the family: Transfer RNA (tRNA) molecules are approximately 80 nucleotides in length. Lineage: Eukaryota; Fungi; Ascomycota; Sordariomycetes; Microascales; Microascaceae. The record is from Rfam by way of RNAcentral.